Anastrepha obliqua is the source of this 849-nucleotide long non-coding RNA. RefSeq lists it as uncharacterized. The transcript is spliced from 3 exons. The record is from RefSeq and is a predicted model, not a curated record. NCBI's taxonomy places the organism in Eukaryota, Metazoa, Arthropoda, Insecta, Diptera, Tephritidae.
ACCUGUUGUUUUACCAUCAAGUAUUUCAACUAGAUGCCUCAGAGGUAAUUCAUUAAAAUGGAGGAGACAGAUAGCCCAUUGUACUGGUCUUUUUAAACGCGUUUCAAUGAAUUUUAUUGCACCAUUCUUCCACCCAGUAUUUGUUGACGUACCAUCACAUCCAAUCACUACAACAUUAGAUUGAUUUAUACCAUUUUCUUCAAAAUAAUUUGGAAUGCUGUAUGCUGUGUCCUUUCCACUUUUUGAAAUUGAUAACGUUUGUUUCCUUUUUCAACUAAAACUAAAGUGUCAUCCAUCCUGCCAUCAAAAUACACACACAUCGGAUCUUUUAAUUGCUCUAUUGCAUUCCCCGAUUCGAUAAGUUUUAGUCUAAAUUUUUCUUUUUCUCUUCUAAUUUUGCUUCGAUCAACAACAAAAGAAGUAUUUUUGUCCGUUAUAAGACCAACGUCUUUAAAUGCACUAGACACAAUAGAUGCUGCUGCUCUAUCAGAUACUCCAAAACGAUCACUUGUUCAAGCCGUUGCUGGAAGUGAUAAGAGCAUCUGUGCAUUUUUUGAACUUGCUGACUGAGAGGAAAUAGAGCGUGAGGUCUGAGAAUCGGGAUCAUUCUUAUCAUUGUCAACUUCAGGAGUUAUCUCUGUUUCAGAAUCAAUGCUACUACAAGAAGGUCCAGGGCAUGUGCAGUUGAUAGUUACCGGCCUUGGACAAAUACACUUGUCAAAGCUUCUUUGACAAAAGCAAUUGAGUGUCAUCUCGCACUUGCAGGACGAAAUGUCAAAUAAUGUACUUGAAGAUUGUUCAAUAAAAUCAUUGUACUUCUUUUGUUUCUCAGGUGUGUCUUUGUCCCUU